This is an unclassified non-coding RNA of Macaca fascicularis (crab-eating macaque), 148 nucleotides long. It matches the Rfam family "Metazoan signal recognition particle RNA". Rfam says of the family: The signal recognition particle (SRP) is a universally conserved ribonucleoprotein. It is involved in the co-translational targeting of proteins to membranes. Lineage: Eukaryota; Metazoa; Chordata; Mammalia; Primates; Cercopithecidae. The record is from Ensembl.
GCCGGGCCUGGUGGCGCACGCCUGUAAUCCCAGCUUCUCGGGAGGCUGAGGCAGGAGAAUCGCUUGAACCCAGGAAGGGGAGGUUGCAGUGAGCCAAGAUCACACCACUGCGCUCCAGCCUGGGUGACAGAGUGAGACUCUGUCUCAA